AUGGCGCUACUGCAACCCAGCUUCAACGGAGCGCUGCUCGACAAGGACGACGACGACUCCCUCUCCCCGGGCAGCUACAAGUGCACCAAUCCAGCGGUGGCCAAGAUGAUGCGGCUUUGGAACUACAAGGACGGCUCCGGGCUUGGCGCACAAGGCCAAGGCAUCAUCGUCCCAAUACAACCCGCCGCACGUCGUCGUCGUCGCAGGGCCGGCAUCGGACAUUGCGACAAGCCUUACGACAACGGCCUGCAGGUCGCGCCGCCGCCGUCGCCGGUGGAAGGCGACUUAGACGAGUGCCGUGAGUGGGAGGCUGUCGCAGGAGCCCUGCGGCUGGAACGAGAGUGCCACGAGAAGACUCUGACGCUGCUGCAAGAGAUGCAACUUCAAGGGGACAGCAGCGUGGAGACGGCGGACGCUCUGGCGGCCAUCGUCAAGUCCGGAGAGGUGCUCCAGGGGAAGCGCGCGCUAGGGGCGUGGAAGGCGGCGUUGCCUCCUUCCACCGUGCGCUACAUCGUCGACAAGGUUCUCCCGCCGAGGCUCGCCAUGGAAGCCCAACAGUGGCGCCCGUCGUGGGACCCGGACUGCGACGAUUGGCUGCGCCCCUGGAUUCCCCUGAUCGGCCACCUGCCGGAGAGCCUCUACGACAUCGUGGAGAGCAAGAUCAGCGGCGCCAGCCACGACAUAGUCUGGCCGUGGAAAGACUACUUCGACCCGGCGCACUGGGAAAUCUUCGUCAGGCGCCACAUCCUGCCUGAGCUGACACGGCUGAUGCGGGAGCUGAGGAUCACGCCCCCAAAGCAAACGGACAGCUCGUUGCACAUGGUGAUGCUGUGGGCGCCGCUCCUGCCCGCCAAAGACGUGCUGUCGAUCUUGGAAGAAGCGGAGUUCUUCGACAAAUGGGAGAGCGCGCUGCGCCACUGGCUGCAAUCCGCGAAGCCGUCGUACGGGGAGGCCGUCGCAUGGUGCACCGGCUGGAAGAAGCUCUUCACCCCGGAGCUGCUCGCCGACGAGCACGUGCUCGCCCGUCUGGACGCCGGCGCUGCCAUGGUGGAUCAAGAAACGCAAGACCUCGACAGCCUUCUUGGGUAUAGCUGGUAG
RNAcentral lists this ribosomal RNA (1098 nucleotides) under Triticum aestivum (bread wheat). Its description in RNAcentral is "partial small subunit ribosomal RNA". The record is from RNAcentral. Lineage: Eukaryota; Viridiplantae; Streptophyta; Magnoliopsida; Poales; Poaceae.